AACGCACAUUGCGCCCGCCAGCAUCCUGGCGGGCAUGCCUGUUCGAGCGUCAUUUCGACCAUCAAGCCCUGGGGGGGGCUUGUGUUGGGGACCUGCGGCUGCCCGCAGGCCCUGAAAACCAGUGGCGGGCCCGCUGGCACCCCCGAGCGCAGUAGUCUCUGUCUCGCUCAGGGCGUGCCGCGGGGUCAUUCCCGGCCGUUAAACAGCGACCUUGGCAAGGUUGACCUCGGAUCAGGUAGGAGGACCCGCUGAACUUAA
This 258-nucleotide unclassified non-coding RNA is filed under the name uncultured fungus. RNAcentral's name for it is "partial contains 5.8S ribosomal RNA, internal transcribed spacer 2, and large subunit ribosomal RNA". Lineage: Eukaryota; Fungi. The record is from RNAcentral.